CAUCCCUAGUGUGCCUUGCUCCCACGACUGUAGUAACUGGCCUUGUAGAUGACGGUACGUUAACCAGAAAGACCACGGCUAACUACGUGCCAGCAGCCGCGGUAAUACGUAGUGGCAGGCGUUAUCCGGAAGUUAUUGGCGUAAGACGCGCGUAGGCGGUAAAGUAAGUACUGAUGUGAAAGACCCCGGCUCAACCGGGGAGGGUCGAUUGGAAACUGUUUACUUGAGUUACAGAAGAGGAGAGUGGAAGUUCCAUGUGUAGCGGUGAAAUGCGC
This 275-nucleotide ribosomal RNA is filed under the name uncultured bacterium. RNAcentral describes it as "partial 16S ribosomal RNA". It matches the Rfam family "Bacterial small subunit ribosomal RNA", at positions 415 to 691 of the family's 1533-position model. The record is from RNAcentral.